Molecule: ribosomal RNA, 465 nt
Filed under: uncultured bacterium
Lineage: Bacteria
Description: partial 16S ribosomal RNA
Rfam family: Bacterial small subunit ribosomal RNA
Source: RNAcentral
CUACGGGCCGCUGCAGUGAGGAAUUUUGCGCAAUGGGGGAAACCCUGACGCAGCAACGCCGCGUGAGUGAAGAAGGCCCUUGGGUCGUAAAGCUCUGUCAAUGGGGAAGAAGUUAUUAUGUGUUAAUAGCACAUUUUAUUGACGGUACCCAUGAAGGAAGCACCGGCUAACUCCGUGCCAGCAGCCGCGGUAAUACGGGGAGUGCAAGCGUUAUUCGGAAUUAUUGGGCGUAAAGGGCACGCAGGCGGUCCUGUCAGUCAGAUGUGAAAGCCCGGGGCUCAACCCCGGACGUGCAUUUGAAACAGCAGGACUUGAGUACGGGAGAGGAAAGGGGAAUUCCUGGUGUAGAGGUGAAAUUCGUAGAUAUCAGGAGGAACACCGGUGGCGAAGGCGCCUUUCUGGACCGAUACUGACGCUGAGGUGCGAAGGCGUGGGGAGCAAACAGGAUUAGAUACCCCCGUAGUC